GCUACACAUGAGGAAGCUUGGCUAGGAGAAACAUGGAAGCAAAAUAUAAUAGACUAAAACUAGUAAUGCGACAGAGAAGGGACACCAAUCAGUUUCUUCAACUUGAAUUACAUGCCUCCACAUAACAACCAUAAAAAACUUCAGUUUCAUUCAUGGUUUGAAGGAAAUACCCGGAAAUCGAAAGGAAAAAGAAGUGAGGAAAUAGUAGACAACAACAGAACAGAGUCCAACAACAAUAAUGAAACAGUAAUCCACAAAUCAAAGAGCUUCAAACCAAACCUUCGAACCCCCAAACACUCAAACCAUGUCUUCCGAGAUAAGAACUUGUGUUUCAAGAAGUUAUAGCUAAACAAGAAGGCUAGGAAACUAGAAUCAAAACUCAAUUUUGGAGCAGUUUUGUAACUAAGGAAAGCAAAGAAUUCAAUGUUCUUUUUUGAGCCACCCGUUUCAGUUUUUUGGAUGUCUUCU
RNAcentral lists this long non-coding RNA (468 nucleotides) under Nicotiana benthamiana. Its description in RNAcentral is "long non-coding RNA (NBEN_LNC034264)". The record is from RNAcentral. Lineage: Eukaryota; Viridiplantae; Streptophyta; Magnoliopsida; Solanales; Solanaceae.